GUGCUUGUGGUGUAGUGGUUAUCACAUCCGCCUAACACGCGGAAGGUCCCAGGUUCGAGCCCUGGCAGGCACA
RNAcentral lists this transfer RNA (73 nucleotides) under Limulus polyphemus (Atlantic horseshoe crab). RNAcentral's name for it is "tRNA-Val". It matches the Rfam family "tRNA". Rfam says of the family: Transfer RNA (tRNA) molecules are approximately 80 nucleotides in length. Their secondary structure includes four short double-helical elements and three loops (D, anti-codon, and T loops). Further hydrogen bonds mediate the characteristic L-shaped molecular structure. tRNAs have two regions of fundamental functional importance: the anti-codon, which is responsible for specific mRNA codon recognition, and the 3' end, to which the tRNAs corresponding amino acid is attached (by aminoacyl-tRNA synthetases). tRNAs cope with the degeneracy of the genetic code in two manners: having more than one tRNA (with a specific anti-codon) for a particular amino acid; and 'wobble' base-pairing, i.e. permitting non-standard base-pairing at the 3rd anti-codon position. Lineage: Eukaryota; Metazoa; Arthropoda; Merostomata; Xiphosura; Limulidae. RNAcentral also lists the same sequence under 1 other name. The record is from RNAcentral.